This 204-nucleotide long non-coding RNA is filed under the name Capsicum annuum. RNAcentral's name for it is "long non-coding RNA (CANN_LNC021000)". The record is from RNAcentral. Lineage: Eukaryota; Viridiplantae; Streptophyta; Magnoliopsida; Solanales; Solanaceae.
GCAUUUGUGGGAGCAAAAUAGGUUAUGGAAAUUGUGAUAAUUGCUUAGGCAAAGCUAUGCUUCUCACCCCCUAUUGUCUCUAGUCUCUCUCAUCCCCUUCUACUGUUAUCCUUCUUUGUUGUAAUUUCUCCUUCCGUAUUAAUCAAAGUUGAUUAGUUCCGUUCAGUGUAUUGAUUGUUGAGUUGAGAAUUCGGGUUCGUUUCA